Molecule: non-coding RNA, 21 nt
Filed under: Arabidopsis thaliana (thale cress)
Lineage: Eukaryota; Viridiplantae; Streptophyta; Magnoliopsida; Brassicales; Brassicaceae
Source: RNAcentral
UGAAUUUUCAGCCCUAUAAUC